RNAcentral lists this ribosomal RNA (434 nucleotides) under uncultured bacterium. RNAcentral's name for it is "partial 16S ribosomal RNA". It matches the Rfam family "Bacterial small subunit ribosomal RNA", at positions 29 to 507 of the family's 1533-position model. The record is from RNAcentral.
AGCGAACGCUGGCGGCAGGCCUAACACAUGCAAGUCGAACGAACCUCCCGGGGGUAGUGGCUCACGGGCGAGUAGGACGUGGGAACGUGCCCUUAGGGCCCGCAUAACUCAGGGAAAUUUGUGCUAAUGCCGAAUAUGCCCUUCGUUCGAAAGAUUUAUCGUCCUUAGAGCGGCCGGCGUUUGAUUAGCUAGUUGGUUGAGGUAACGGCUCAGCAAGGAGAGGAUCUGUAGCUGGUCUGAGAGGAUGAUCAGCCACCUCGGGGCUGCGACACAGCCCAAAAUCCUACGGAAGGGAGGAGAGGGGAAUGUAGCGAAAUGGGGGGAGGCCUGACGCAGCCAUGCCGGGUAAAUGAUGCAGUUCUUAGGAAAGUAAAAUUCUUUGACAGGGGACGAUAAUGACGGUACCCGGAGAAGAAGCCCCGGCUAACUUCGUG